This 505-nucleotide ribosomal RNA is filed under the name uncultured bacterium. RNAcentral describes it as "partial 16S ribosomal RNA". It matches the Rfam family "Bacterial small subunit ribosomal RNA", at positions 28 to 507 of the family's 1533-position model. The record is from RNAcentral.
GACGAACGCUGGCGGCGUGCCUAAUACAUGCAAGUAGAACGCACAGUUUAUACCGUAGCUUGCUACACCAUAGACUGUGAGUUGCGAACGGGUGAGUAACGCGUAGGUAACCUGCCUGGUAGCGGGGGAUAACUAUUGGAAACGAUAGCUAAUACCGCAUAAUAUUAAUUAUUGCAUGAUAAUUAAUUGAAAGGUGCAAUUGCACCACUACCAGAUGGACCUGCGUUGUAUUAGCUAGUAGGUGAGGUAACGGCUCACCUAGGCGACGAUACAUAGCCGACCUGAGAGGGUGAUCGGCCACACUGGGACUGAGACACGGCCCAGACUCCUACGGGAGGCAGCAGUAGGGAAUCUUCGGCAAUGGACGAAAGUCUGACCGAGCAACGCCGCGUGAGUGAAGAAGGUUUUCGGAUCGUAAAGCUCUGUUGUAAGAGAAGAACGGGUGUGAGAGUGGAAAGUUAACACUGUGACGGUAUCUUACCAGAAAGGGACGGCUAACUACGUG